RNAcentral lists this long non-coding RNA (1364 nucleotides) under Phoenix dactylifera (date palm). RNAcentral's name for it is "long non-coding RNA (PDAC_LNC014910)". The record is from RNAcentral. Lineage: Eukaryota; Viridiplantae; Streptophyta; Magnoliopsida; Arecales; Arecaceae.
AGUUCAAUUUUGAUACAAAGCAUGUUGGUUGCAUAUUAUCUUUCAUUUAGCGAUAAAGAACAUUCUUGUGAAAUAUUUGAAUAUUUUGCUGAAAUUCAUAGCUGAUACUUCUGGUAGACAACACAGCAGCAAACGUGUAAUAACAAUUAUAGCUUGUUUGUUUAGUAAAUCUAUCACAUUCUUCCACCAUCUUCAUUUGAGUAUUUAUUAUUGCUGACAUUGUUCCAUUCACAAAUAUCUUGGUUCAACAAUAAAUAUUCCAUUCAACAUCUUAUCUUUCUUUUGAAUCCCAAUAUCAUGCUUUAUUUUAAACUCUAGCUGUAAUGACUAAAUGAAUAAAAAAAUUGAUAGCUUUAUAUAAUUCAGUAUUUUCAUUUAUUUGGGUGCUCUCUAGAUUGUUUAAUACCGUAUAAAUUUCCAUGCUUUACUUGCGUUUAUAUUCAUCCUUGAUUUAGGUACCUAAGACUCAGCUUUACUAUUCAUUAGCAUCUAUCGUUUGAUGUCAUCAGUUUAAAGGCUUUCAGUUUGUUUGUGUGGUUAUUGUUGAUUUCUCCUAGUGCCACCAUGGGAGUAAACCACUGGUCUUAAUUAUUGAUGCUUUUGGGGCUUGUCACCCCGUAUGCAGACAUAUCAAUGUGUUGAUGUACAUGUGGCUUUUCUGUACUCUUGUCUCAUCAGUUGGUUUGUUCCCCUCUGAUGGUGUAGUCAAAGUUGCAUGUAUUGUUUCUUAUCAUGCUUGGAUGUCUUCAUUAGGGGCUUUACUACACUAUGCAGUGUUGGUUCUUUGUUAUCUAAGACAGUGGAAAAAAGGUGUCUUGAAUAGGUCUGUAUUGGUGCCAAGACUAGGUAGCUCUUUGACUCUUAAUUCUUGUGUAUUGGGAAUCAAACGGGUAUUGCUGGGUAACACAUGCACACACAUGCACACAUUAUUUUAGUUUUUGCAUUUGUUGUUCUCUUCAGGUUGGACUAGCAUAGCUUUAGCAUAGCGGAACAUCAGCACUUUAUGAAUAUGCCUGAUGGCCUGAAGUGCAUUUUGAUCUGCAUCUCUUCCUUUGUUGCCCUGUGAUGUUUGCUUAGUUACUUUUUGUUAAUGUUGCUAGCAUCAUUACCAGUUGCAAGGUGUCAAAUGGUUUGGGAUCAUAAACUUCAUGAAGCACAAAGUUUGCACAUUUUUUUAUAUUGCUUUACAAGGCUAAUGACUUAUAUUUGCACAAAGUAAUUUUGUGCCUCUAAUCAAUCCUGUAAGUUCAAAAUUUCUUUUUUUAACUUAUGACUGAUUAUAACUUUUGGUCAUGAUAUUUCCCCAUGUACACAUGCAUUUGCACAUCAAUAUUUGCUAUAUGUGUAUACAGACCCGCAGGCAG